RNAcentral lists this ribosomal RNA (404 nucleotides) under uncultured prokaryote. Its description in RNAcentral is "bacterial SSU rRNA". It matches the Rfam family "Bacterial small subunit ribosomal RNA", at positions 355 to 776 of the family's 1533-position model. The record is from RNAcentral. RNAcentral also lists the same sequence under 1 other name.
UGGGGGAUAUUAGGCAAUGGGGGAAACCCUGACCUAGCGAUGCCGCGUGAGGGAAGAAGGUCUUCGGAUUGUAAACCUCUGUCUUCGGGGAAGAUUAUGACGGUACCCGAGGAGGAAGCUCCGGCUAACUACGUGCCAGCAGCCGCGGUAAUACGUAGGGAGCAAGCGUUAUCCGGAUUUAUUGGGUGUAAAGGGUGCGUAGGCGGGCGUUCAAGUUGAAUGUGAAAUCCACCGGCUUAACUGGUGGGCUGCGUUCAAAACUGAAUGUCUUGAGUAUGGUAGAGGCAAGCGGAAUUCCCAGUGUAGCGGUAAAAUGCGUAGAGAUUGGGAGGAACACCAGUGGCGAAGGCGGCUUGCUGGGCCAAAACUGACGCUGAGGCACGAAAGUGUGGGGAGCAAACAGG